This 256-nucleotide ribosomal RNA is filed under the name uncultured Megasphaera sp. Its description in RNAcentral is "partial 16S ribosomal RNA". It matches the Rfam family "Bacterial small subunit ribosomal RNA", at positions 114 to 354 of the family's 1533-position model. The record is from RNAcentral. Lineage: Bacteria; Bacillati; Bacillota; Negativicutes; Veillonellales; Veillonellaceae.
CGCGUAAACAACCUGCCCUUCGGAUGGGGACAACAGCUGGAAACGGCUGCUAAUACCGAAUACGUUCUUUCAUCGCAUGGUGAGAAGAAGAAAGGACGGCCUCACACAAAGCGGUCGCCGAAGGAGGGGUUUGCGUCUGAUUAGCUAGUUGGAGGGGUAACGGCCCAACAAGGCGACGAUCAGUAGCCGGUCUGAGAGGAUGAACGGCCACAUUGGGACUGAGACACGGCCCAGACUCCUACGGGAGGCAGCAGGG